CCCUUAGAUGUUCUGGGCAGCACGCGCGCUACAAUGGUCUUCGCAAACGGAUGCAUUCUCGAAGGAGAAUGCCAAUCUUGGAAUCUAUGCCUUGGUCGGGACAGUUGCUUGCAAUUUUUCGACUCGAACCAGGAAUUCCUUGUAAUCGUGAUUCAUCACAUCACGAUGAAUACGUCCCUGCCCUUUGUACACACCGCCCGUCGCUCCUACCGAUCGAAGAGUUAGGUGAAUUGUUUUGAUCGAUAAGAUUUGACUAUGGUCAACUCUCGUUGUGAGAUUCUGUGAAUCUGACUGUUUAGAGGAAGGAAAAGUCGUAACA
RNAcentral lists this ribosomal RNA (319 nucleotides) under uncultured eukaryote. Its description in RNAcentral is "partial 18S ribosomal RNA". It matches the Rfam family "Eukaryotic small subunit ribosomal RNA", at positions 1470 to 1796 of the family's 1831-position model. The record is from RNAcentral.